RNAcentral lists this long non-coding RNA (1160 nucleotides) under Pan troglodytes (chimpanzee). RNAcentral describes it as "long non-coding RNA NONPTRT002878". The record is from RNAcentral. Lineage: Eukaryota; Metazoa; Chordata; Mammalia; Primates; Hominidae.
GCCUCAUCGCGCCUGGGCCGGCAGAGCCACACCCCGCGUCUUGCGUCACUGAGUCGCGUCACGGCUAUUGGCUUGUUCCUAUUGUGGCGUCAUUAGAGCCCGGCCUCCGGCUGGGGCCACCCAGGCAACCGAUAUACACAGAGAACCACGUGGAGGAAAAGCACGCGAGUUUGGAGGGGGUGGAGCAGGAACAGAGGUGGACUGGAAUGUCACACGACGGGGCAGCUGGAAGGGCACCACUGAGUUCAGUACUUCAAAAUUGCCGUGCUCUACCUCUCCCCAGUGCACAGAAACACUCUCCACACCAAGCUGCUGCUGCUGGGGGAUGGAGGGAUGGCGUCAGCGAUUCAAGACUGUUUUUCCUACCUGUUCAGCACUUCUUUCAGCGAUAUGAAGUUAAAUCCAGAUGUCGUCAUCAUCCACUUGUGCAAACAAGAGCCCAAGGAUCAUCCUAGAUUCCUUCUCACUUCCUCUCAAUCCAUCCCUGAAACAGCCAAACCACCAAGCAGCAAGAGGGAUCUUAUAAAAAUAUGACCAGAUCACAUCCUUCAACACUUCCCUGUUACCCUUACAAUAAAAUUCAAACUCUUCACCAUGACCUCCAAGGCUCCUAUUGAAUCCGGCUCUUGUCUGCCUCUUCAGUAACAUCAUGGACCACUCCUUACCAUUCCCUCCAUCUGGCUGUGCUUCCUGCAUCUCUUCCAAUGGCUGGCUUGUUCUCACCUUUGAAGUCUCAGCUCAAAGGACACUCCCUUGGGCUCUCCCUCAUCACCCUAACUAAUAGGUCACUUAAUAUUGUUAUUAUUUUUUAGAGACAAAGUCUCACUAUGUCACCCAGGCUUGCCUCAAACUCCUGGGCUCAAGCAAUUCUCCCACCUUGGCCUCUCAAAGUUCUAGGAUUACAGGCGUGAGCCACUAUGCCUGGCUAUGUCACUUAUUAUUCUUUAUUAUCUUCUAUAUAUAAAUGAUCCCAAUCCAUAAUUAUUUGAUUUAUUGAUUGGUUUACUUGCUUAAUAUCCAACUCCCAUACUAGAAUAUAAAUGUUAUAGAACAAGAGAUUGUCUGUACCAUCCACUGUUCUAGUCUCAUUACCCCACAUAAGGCCUGGCAUGGAGUGUGCACCUAAUAAAUGUUUGAAUAAAUAUUGACUGGAUCAGGGA